This 497-nucleotide ribosomal RNA is filed under the name uncultured bacterium. Its description in RNAcentral is "partial 16S ribosomal RNA". It matches the Rfam family "Bacterial small subunit ribosomal RNA", at positions 28 to 507 of the family's 1533-position model. The record is from RNAcentral.
GAUGAACGCUGGCGGCGUGCUUAACACAUGCAAGUCGAGCGAAGAGACGAGGAGCUUUCUCCUCUGAGGUUAGGAGUGGCGGAGGGGUUAGUAAGACGAUAGCAUCCCUAUAAGACUGGGAGAACACCGGGAAAACGGUGCGAAUACACCGCAAUAUACUGAACCGCAUGGUUCAAGGGUCUAAGACCGUUUUGCUGUCACUUGUAGAUGGAUCCGCGCCGCAUUAGCUAGUUGGUAGGGUAACGGCUUACCAAGGCAACGAUGCGUAGCCGACCUGAGAGGAUGAUCAGCCACACUGGAACUGAGACACGGUCCAGACUCCUACGGGAGGCAGCAGUAGGGAAUAUUCCGCAAUGGGCGAAAGCCUGAUGCAGCAACGCCGCGUGGGUGAUGAAGGUCUUCGGGUCGUAAAGCUCUUUUGUUGGGAAAGAAAAAAUGUAGGAUUAUCUAUGGAUGUCUUGACGGUACCUAAAGAAAAAGCCACGGCUAACUACGUG